Molecule: ribosomal RNA, 497 nt
Filed under: uncultured bacterium
Lineage: Bacteria
Description: partial 16S ribosomal RNA
Rfam family: Bacterial small subunit ribosomal RNA
Source: RNAcentral
GAUGAACGCUGGCGGCGUGCCUAAUACAUGCAAGUCGAGCGAACGGACGAGAAGCUUGCUUCUCUGAUGUUAGCGGCGGACGGGUGAGUAACACGUGGAUAACCUACCUAUAAGACUGGGAUGACUUCGGGAAACCGGAGCUAAUACCGGAUAAUAUUUUGAACCGCAUGGUUCAAAAGUGAAAGACGGUCUUGCUGUCACUUAUAGAUGGAUCCGCGCUGCAUUAGCUAGUUGGUAAGGUAACGGCUUACCAAGGCAACGAUGCAUAGCCGACCUGAGAGGGUGAUCGGCCACACUUGAACUGAGACACGGUCCAGACUCCUACGGGAGGCAGCAGUAGGGAAUCUUCCGCAAUGGGCGAAAGCCUGACGGAGCAACGCCGCGUGAGUGAUGAAGGUCUUCGGAUCGUAAAACUCUGUUAUUAGGGAAGAACAUAUGUGUAAGUAACUGUGCACAUCUUGACGGUACCUAAUCAGAAAGCCACGGCUAACUACGUG